RNAcentral lists this ribosomal RNA (406 nucleotides) under uncultured bacterium. RNAcentral describes it as "partial 16S ribosomal RNA". It matches the Rfam family "Bacterial small subunit ribosomal RNA", at positions 29 to 526 of the family's 1533-position model. The record is from RNAcentral.
AUUGAACGCUGGCGGCAGGCCUAACACAUGCAAGUCGAACGAGUGGCGGACGGGUGAGUAAUGUCUGGGAAACUGCCUGAUGGAGGGGGAUAACUACUGGAAACGGUAGCUAAUACCGCAUACCAUCAGAUGUGCCCAGAUGGGAUUAGCUUGUUGGUGGGGUAACGGCUCACCAAGGCGACGAUCCCUAGCUGGUCUGAGAGGAUGACCAGCCACACUGGAACGGGGACACGGUCCAGACGCAGACGGGAGGUAGCAGAGGGGAAUAGUGCACAAUGGGCGCAAGCCUGAUGCAGCCAUGCCGCGUGUAUGAAGAAGGCCUUCGGGUUGUAAAGUACUUUCAGCGGGGAGGCGUUAGCCGUAGAAGAAGAACCGGCUAACUCCGUGCCAGCAGCCGCGGUAAUAC